UGCCUGGAGUGAAGAUUCUGCCCAUUGGUCAAGAGACCUCCCUCUCAGAUGCUGGCUCUGCCCCUGCCUUUGGGGGUCGACCCUUGUACUCGCAGGACCUUAGGUGACUCUAUUCUACUUCUCUGAUCAUCCAGGAAGCCAACCUGCCUGAGGACGAGUCAUACUCUGUCCUCCCACCCCAGGCCAGAGAGUGGUAUCUGUCUGUCCACAAGUUAAAGCACAGGUGGUGAAGGGUCUCAUUUCAAGUUGUUGUGGUUUUCUGCCAUGGAGGAAAGUGUUGAAAAAAAGGGAACUAUACAGCAUAAAGAUGGGUUUUCACAGAUCCUGUCAAGGGAUCUGAAUGAUGCAGUGUUGCAAUCCCAUUUUAUAAAUGAGGCAACCAAAACUCGAACAGGACCAUAUUGCGACUGAAACAAGGCAUAACAGGUCUUUGACUGGCUAUCCUGUGGGUGUGGACUCAGGCUAGCCUGCGCAAAGUGGUGAGCAAGGUGGUUGGGAAAAUCAAAGGAGGGGGUAAGGUAGUGGCAGGUAACUAUCGAUAAUCUGCUCUUCUUCACAGAAAGACAGGCAAUUAGAUUGAAAAAUACCUGUGAUUCAAAGAAGUCACAAGUCACAGAGACAAACUUUUCCCAGUGUGUUCGAGUCAGAGAACCUUUGCAAAGACCAACAGGCUAAAAGAGAAAAUACAAUGUCAUG
This 696-nucleotide non-coding RNA is filed under the name Pan troglodytes (chimpanzee). The record is from RNAcentral. Lineage: Eukaryota; Metazoa; Chordata; Mammalia; Primates; Hominidae.